GUAGGUGGCAAGCGUUGUCCGGAAUUAUUGGGGCGUAAAGCGCGCGCAGGCGGUUCUUUAAGUCUGAUGUGAAAGCCCACGGGCUCAACCGUGGAGGGUCAUUGGAAACUGGAGAACUUGAGUACAGAAGAGGAAAGCGGGAUUCCACGUGUAGCGGUGAAAUGCGUAGAGAUGUGGAGGAACACCAGUGGCGAAGGCGGCUUUCUGGUCUGUAACCGACGCUGAGGCGCGAAAGCGUGGGGAGCAAACAGGAUUAGAUACCCUGGUAGUCCACGCCGUAAACGAUGAGUGCUAAGUGUUAGGGGGUUUCCGCCCCUUAGUGCUGCAGCUAACGCAUUAAGCACUCCGCCUGGGGAGUACGGCCGCAAAGGCUG
Molecule: ribosomal RNA, 374 nt
Filed under: uncultured organism
Description: partial 16S ribosomal RNA
Rfam family: Bacterial small subunit ribosomal RNA
Source: RNAcentral